CCUCCUGGUUCCUCUCCUCCUGGUUCCUCUCCUCCUGGUUCUUCUCUCCUUCAUGUGUUAAUCUCUGUUGGAUUGUUCUGUGUUGUGGUUCUACUGGUGUUUCUGGUUCUGCUGGUCAGACAGCGUUCUCACAGGAAACCUGGAGAUCAGAGCAAAGCUGCAGGAGAUGAUGUCACAUACAGUGAUGUCAAAGUAUCAGCUCGUCAGCAGCAGCCAGACAAAUGGAGCAGAGAGACUGAUACAGCUGUGGUCUACUCAGCAGUGACAGGUGGAGACGUCAGCUAUGGAGAACCAACCAUCAGAACAAGGAGGCCCAGACUUUAAACCAGAGCCAGACGUCGUCUACUCUUCACUGAAGUAUCCACCAGUCCAACCACUGACGUCCAGCUGCUGCUCUCUGACUGCUCCCCAGCACCUCACAGACCAUCCAUGUGUUACUUCUUUUCCUCCUUUAAUGAGACUGAUACAUGUAAAAAAUUACAUCCUA
Archocentrus centrarchus (flier cichlid) is the source of this 487-nucleotide long non-coding RNA. RefSeq lists it as uncharacterized. The record is from RefSeq and is a predicted model, not a curated record. The transcript has 4 exons. Lineage: Eukaryota; Metazoa; Chordata; Actinopteri; Cichliformes; Cichlidae.